AGAACGAACGCUGGCGGCAUGCCUAACACAUGCAAGUCGAACGAGACCUUCGGGGUCUAGUGGCGCACGGGUGCGUAACGCGUGGGAAUCUGCCCUUGGGUUCGGGAUAACAGUUGGAAACGACUGCUAAUACCGGAUAAUGACUUCGGUCCAAAGAUUUAUUGCCCAGGGAUGAGCCCGCGUAGGAUUAGCUAGUGGUGAGGUAAGGCUCACGAAGGCGACGAUCCUAGCUGGUCUGAGAGGAUGAUCAGCCACACGUGGGACUGAGACACGGCCCAGACUCCGUACGGGAGCCAGCCGAGGUAGGGGAAUAGUAGGAACGAAGUGGGACGAAAGCCUAGACUCGA
This 347-nucleotide ribosomal RNA is filed under the name uncultured soil bacterium. Its description in RNAcentral is "bacterial SSU rRNA". It matches the Rfam family "Bacterial small subunit ribosomal RNA", at positions 26 to 392 of the family's 1533-position model. The record is from RNAcentral.